This 465-nucleotide ribosomal RNA is filed under the name uncultured bacterium. RNAcentral describes it as "partial 16S ribosomal RNA". It matches the Rfam family "Bacterial small subunit ribosomal RNA", at positions 28 to 507 of the family's 1533-position model. The record is from RNAcentral.
GACGAACGCUGGCGGCGUGCUUAACACAUGCAAGUCGAACGGAAAGGCCCUGCUUGCAGGGUACUCGAGUGGCGAACGGGUGAGUAACACGUGGGUGAUCUGCCCUGCACUUCGGGAUAAGCCUGGGAAACUGGGUCUAAUACCGGAUAGGAGCCAUUUUUAGUGUGAUGGUUGGACAGUUUUUUCGGUGUAGGAUGAGCUCGCGGCCUAUCAGCUUGUUGGUGGGGUAAUGGCCUACCAAGGCGGGGACGGGUAGCCGGCCUGAGAGGGUGGACGGCCACAUUGGGACUGAGAUACGGCCCAGACUCCUACGGGAGGCAGCAGUGGGGAAGAUUGCACAAGGGGCGCAAGCCUGAUGCAGCGACGCCGCGUGGGGGAGGACGGCCUUCGGGUUGUAAACGCCUUUCGCUAGGGACGAAGCUUUUUGUGACGGUACCUAGAUAAGAAGCACCGGCUAACUACGUG